This is a non-coding RNA of Cristinia sonorae, 111 nucleotides long. NCBI's taxonomy places the organism in Eukaryota, Fungi, Basidiomycota, Agaricomycetes, Agaricales, Stephanosporaceae. The record is from the annotation of a GenBank genome assembly.
GGUUCAAUGGUGUAGUUGGUUAUCACGUUCGUCUCACAAUCAUGUGAUUGUACAGAGCUCGUUACAUGACGAGAGCACGAGAGGUCUUCGGUUCGAGUCCGGAUUGAACCA